Molecule: long non-coding RNA, 2087 nt
Organism: Python bivittatus (Burmese python)
Lineage: Eukaryota; Metazoa; Chordata; Lepidosauria; Squamata; Pythonidae
Source: RefSeq, a predicted model, not a curated record
GCAGUCUGUUCCCUUAUACUGUUGGGAAAUGAUGUCAUUUCUCUUUUUAGUAACUAUACCCCCAGAGAUAUGAGAGAGGAACUUCUUUUUUUUUCCACACUGCAAUGUGACUAUACUUUGUUUGGUUCUAGAGACUAUGUGAAUGAAUGAUUAUGGCUUUCUGACAGGAUUUUUCUUUCGGUCUUUCCAGCAAACAGAACAAUUGUAAUAAUAGAUCCAAAGAAGACGGAAGAUAGAAAGGGGAAUUUAAAUUAGUGUUACAAGAACAGAAGAGAUGGGAAACAAAGUAGUUAAGAAAAGCAAAAGACCUUGGUCUCAUUUUAGAAGAAGAUAUGCAGUGAGAAAAGAUGAGAACACUGUUUACAAAAUACCAGACAGCCAUUCUGAAUUACACUAUACUACUAUUGACUUUGCAGAAACUGCCAGUAGUAACAUAAAGGCAUCAAGCACAAUGACUGACUAUGAUGAUAUCACCAUUCUUUCCAAAACAGUGACUGUUGCCAGCCAAGAAGACAGUGAUGAUUAUGAUUAUGUACUAAUGAAUUAGGAGUUGCUUUAUGCUGUCUGCUUAGAGUUGUUCUCUUUGGAAAAGCCAUUCUGAUUGCAUUUUUUUUUCAAAUCAUAUUUUAUGAUGUAAUAAAGUUUGCACUGUUAUCAUUCCCCAAAUAUCCUUGCAUGCUGUAUAUACAGUAUCCUCCUGUAAGUUCUUUUAAGUAUGAUGGUGAGAUACGUAUGUGUGUACUGUCAAUAAUUUUCUCCCUCAAACUACUAGAGCAGUUUCUAGGAUCCUCAAUAUUUCAUGGUGUUCUAUGGUGAUAUUUAUACUGCCCCAAAGUGCUGAUCAAACCAGGCUCUUCACCUGUACCUUCCAAGACUCCAGCUGGAUCAGUCCAAACAGUAGCUUUCACAGGGAGAACACAUCCCCACCACUGCACUGUGAGUUAUUAAUAUGAAAUGCUCAAUAUUAAUAUUUGCCAGGUUUUCAAUUAUAUGGAAAUCUGGGAGAGAUGACACUUUAUCCACCAGGUCUCUGAUCCCAUGGUGAACUCUGAUUCCAUAGUAAACUUUACAUGAUUGGUGAUCACAUGGAUAAAGAGCUGCUCUCCCCACUUCUCCUGCCACCUGUAUCAGUCCUGACCUACCAGAACCUGUCAACCAACUAGAAAAACAGUUGGUAGGUCCUGGGGUUAGCUACCUCAUGAAGUAGGAUUUCUUUAGAAGAAUGUAGAACACAUUGUUAGUUAAAAAUAGUUAAAAACCAGCUGACAAACAUGAUGGGGAGAUGACUGUUGAGAGGUGAAGUGGGAAGGAAGAGCACUAAACCCAUAUUUAAAAAUAGCCUGAAUCAUAUGGUAGAUACUCUGUGUUUGUGUGUGUGGUUUGGUGAAGUGGUAUCUCUGUUACUCUUCCAGCAGCUGUCAGCUUUUUUUUGAGGGCCGGAGGGUUGUUGGUUGACAGAAUCACUCACUUACCCUGCCACUCCUUCAGCCCGGGUAGAAUCUGGGAGAGAUCACUCUUUACCUGCAGAAUCAGAGCACUGCUGGGUAAAUAGCCAUCUAUACAUAUGCUUUACUGGGCAGUGUCAGUCUGUUAUAGCAGCUCACAAUCAAGAAAGCAAGAGAUUCAAAGUAGCAUGUUUACUGCAAUGAGCAAAGAGUUAGGUUACAGAAUCUUGAAGAUGAGGUAUGUGUAUUUUGACUCUCAUUUAUCAAUAAGUACAUUAAGAUGGGGGUUCAUAGAAACUUAUUUAAUGGGGAAGAUGCUAACUACUUGAUUCCACAAAAAUGUCCCUCUGUUCUUGUCCUGUAAUGUUUUGGAAACAUCCAUUUUCAUUAUUCCUAGGUUCAGGGAACUCCAUCACAGGCAACCUCCACCAUCCCUUGGAUCAUGGUUGGAGGGAAAACUGUCCGGUGAAGCAGGGCAGCUUCUCUUACUUUAGCAGGGAGCCUCCACCAUCUUAUAGAUGAAUAACAACCCCGGUGCUUGAUCUUCUGGGUAAGGAAGGGCUACCCAUGAAAUUGCCCAGAGUUUGGAGGUGCAAGGAUGAUGGGAUUGCACAGUGGAGACCCAAUCCUACUUUGGAGGAG